RNAcentral lists this ribosomal RNA (525 nucleotides) under uncultured bacterium. Its description in RNAcentral is "bacterial SSU rRNA". It matches the Rfam family "Bacterial small subunit ribosomal RNA", at positions 1 to 503 of the family's 1533-position model. The record is from RNAcentral.
GCUAUUUAGGUUAGAGUUUGAUCAUGGCUCAGGACGAACGCUGGCGGCGUGCUUAACACAUGCAAGUCGAGCGGAAAGGCCCCUUUUGGGGGGUACUCGAGCGGCGAACGGGUGAGUAACACGUGAGUGAUCUGCCCCUUACUCUGGGAUAACUGUCUGAAAGGGUGGCUAAUACCGGAUGUGACUGCGUCCUGCAUGGGGUGUGGUGGAAAGCUUCUCUCUUUUUGGGGGUUGUGGUGGGGGAUGUGCUCGCGGCCUAUCAGCUUGUUGGUGGGGUAAUGGCCUACCAAGGCUUUGACGGGUAGCCGGCCUGAGAGGGUGACCGGCCACACUGGGACUGAGACACGGCCCAGACUCCUACGGGAGGCAGCAGUGGGGAAUAUUGGACAAUGGGCGGAAGCCUGAUCCAGCAACGCCGCGUGAGGGAUUACGGCCUUCGGGUUGUAAACCUCUUUCAGCACAGACGAAGCUGUUCUCACGUGUGGGGGUGGUGACGGUAUGUGCAGAAGAAGCACCGGCCAACUA